RNAcentral lists this ribosomal RNA (380 nucleotides) under uncultured eukaryote. RNAcentral describes it as "SSU rRNA". It matches the Rfam family "Eukaryotic small subunit ribosomal RNA", at positions 587 to 972 of the family's 1831-position model. The record is from RNAcentral. RNAcentral also lists the same sequence under 1 other name.
AGCUCCAAUAGCGUAUAUUAAAGUUGUUGCGGUAAAAAAGCUCGUAGUUGGAUUUCUGUUGAGAGCGACCGGUCCAUACCAUGUAUGCGUAUCUGGCUUGCUCUCGGCAUCCUCUCGAUAGACGUUGCUGCGCUUGAUUGCGUGGCGCGGAUCUCGGGACUUUUACUUUGAGGAAAUUAGAGUGUUCACGGCAGGCUUUCGCCAGAAUACAUUAGCAUGGAAUAAUACUAUAGGAUCUUGGUUCUAUUUUGUUGGUUUCUAGAAUUGAGAUAAUGAUUAAUAGGGACAAUUGGGGGCAUUCGUAUCAACACGUCAGAGGUGGAAUUCUUGGAUUGUGUUGCGACGAACUACUGCGAAAGCAUUUGCCAAGGAUGUUUUCA